This 702-nucleotide long non-coding RNA is filed under the name Phascolarctos cinereus (koala). RNAcentral's name for it is "lncRNA (ENSPCIG00000017977.2)". The record is from RNAcentral. Lineage: Eukaryota; Metazoa; Chordata; Mammalia; Diprotodontia; Phascolarctidae.
GGUGGGUGGGCUGGAAAAAGAUGGAUUCCAAAGCCUGGGGUGGGAGCGGGGGUGGAGUGGGGGUGGGGUAGGGGAGAGGCACCGCCCCCAGAGGCUGAGGCGAGAAAGGAUUGGAUGAUUCCGAAUCCGCUCGGGCCAAUGCCGGGCGGUCUGUGAAGGGGCGGGCCUCUUACCUGUGCCUUUGAAAUUGGACUUGAGCUCUUUGAAGCCCAGUCUUCCCUCCGCUCUUGGCUUGCUUCACCUGCGUCCCGAGGCCACCAUGAGUAACCAGCUUGUUCGAGAAGACUAUAACCAGUCCCGUCCUCGGAGACCGAGACCCAAGCCCCAAGAAAAGGGCCCUCUGCGGUUCUUAGUCGAGGCUCGGCUCGUGGGGGCCCUCAUAGGGAUGAAAGGAUCGAGGAUUCGAGCAAUGGAGACCCUUUCCGGCGCUCAGAUUAAAAUAGAUCUGUUCAACCAAGAGGAAGAUGGUGAAAAGCCCGAAAAAGCAGAGGUGCAAGUUUUCGGAAGCAACCACUGUAGAAUUAGAGCAAAAGAACUGGUUGAAUGUAUCAUCAGAUGGUAUCCACCCGCCUCCCCUGACGAUGAAGCACAGAAGGCUGUUGCCCAGAUGUCCAUUCAGGAAAAUAAGUAAUAUGCAGCCCAGCUGGUUUUUGUUAAUUUUAUACAAAUAAAUUAUGUUUGUUUUUUUCUAUUCUUUUUUUU